GACGAACGCUGGCGGCGUGCUUAACACAUGCAAGUCGAACGGAAAGGCCCCUUUGGGGGUACUCGAGUGGCGAACGGGUGAGUAACACGUGCGUAACCUGCCCUUGACUUCGGGAUAACUUCAGGAAACUGGGGCUAAUACCGGAUAGGAAUCCUUGCUGCAUGGUGGGGGUUGGAAAGCUUCGGCGGUUUUGGAUGGACUCGCGGCUUAUCAGCUUGUUGGUGGGGUAGUGGCUUACCAAGGCUUUGACGGGUAGCUGGCCUGGGAGGGCGACCGGCCACAUUGGGACUGAGAUACGGCCCAGACGCCUACGGGGGGCAGCAGUGGGGAAUAUUGCACAAUGGGCGGAAGCCUGAUGCAGCAACGCCGCGUGCGGGAUGACGGCCUUCGGGUUGUAAACCGCUUUCAGCAGGGGCGAAGCUUGUGGUGACGGUACCUGCAGAAGAAGCACCGGCUAACUACGUG
RNAcentral lists this ribosomal RNA (465 nucleotides) under uncultured bacterium. RNAcentral describes it as "partial 16S ribosomal RNA". It matches the Rfam family "Bacterial small subunit ribosomal RNA", at positions 28 to 507 of the family's 1533-position model. The record is from RNAcentral.